UGAGUUUCUUCCUGCUGACUGUCUGGAGUUUCCCUAUGAGCUGGUGUGAGGCACUGCUUCCUGUGGCUCAGAGCAAGACUCCAUGAGGCCCGAUGCACGUUGGGAACUGCACCCUCUAUUCUGUAAGGCACCGAGACAGGCCUAUGGAACCGUGUGCGGACUUGGGACUUGAGACCCUGCCUGAACAAAAAUUUCCAGGUUUUCAAAAAGAAAAACGAAUGAAUGGAAACCAUCCUGGUGAGCUUGAUGUUGAGACCAAGUAAUGUUCUUUGGUUGAACCCAAGAAAAGAGGGGAUCCCAAGUAACCGCGAGCCGGCGGAGAACACAGAGUGCGUUUGCCACCUAGCACUUCAGUAGCUCAUUUGUUCCUUCCACGCGUUUGGGGGUCUGUGACAGACUCUUCACCAUGGGCUAAGAGGCAUCUCUUAUUCAUGGGAGCCAGGGGACAACGAAGACAAGUUUGCCAUUAACUGAAGAUUAGACUGUUAAGAAUUGGCUCUCACUGUAUAAAAUAGCUACUUUCUCUGCCGCUGUUCUAUAAUAAGAAGUGGAUGGCUUCUGGUCUCAAACCAAAUGUUUUUAUCCCAAACAAUGGCUGAAAGAGGUGACCAGGAAGACCGGAGACUUUAUGACCAAGGUAGAACAGAGACUAUUAGUGCUAGCAAUGCAAGGGCUUCUGAAACAAUUCCAGUGAGUAGACUCAGAAUGCAAAAUCUGAAGUGAAUAUGCACGGGGUCUGGAAAAUAAGAAGACUAAGAAGGAAGGCAAUGUGAAGAGAGGGCCACGUUCCAAGUGUUGCCCUGAAGGAAGAUCAGAAAUCAAUACACAUUAUUCUCCAAGCCUAGGCACUCUGGAGCUCUGCAGAAUGACCUUCAUGUUGUCUGUCAACUGGAAAAAAAAACUACUCUGCAAAACUGCUGGGGACUUUAAUCUUGAGAUAAUUUUUUUUUUAAACUGACAAAAGGAGGUUGAUUCCUUCCCUAUCACUAUACAACUGAUAAAAAGGAAACCCACAGUGAAUUUUACGGUUGAAGGAGGUCUCUUAUGCUUCAAACCAAGCUUAACAACAGUUUUUAUAAAAUUACCAUAUUACUUAUAUUUCACUCUUAAUAUUAUCUUCUUAAAAAUUUUUUUGAGUUUAUUUUUGAGAGAGAGAGAGACAGAUUGACAGACAGAGCAUGAGUGGGGGAGGGGCAGAGGGAGAGAAGGAUACAGAAUCUGAAGCAGGCUCCAGGCUCUGGGCUGUCAGCACAGAGCCCGAUGUGGGGCUUGAACCCACAGGCUGUGAGGUCGUGACCUGAGCCUCUUAGCCAAAUGAGCCACCCAGGCGCCCCCCCCCCAAAUUUUUUUAAUGUUUAUUUAUUUUUGAGAGAGAAAGAGACAGAGACAGAGAGAAACAGAGCACAAGUGGGGAAAAGAGAGAGGGUGACACAGAAUCUGAAGCAAGCUUCAGGCUCUGAGCUGUCAGUACAGAGCCCGACAUGGGGCUUGAACUAACAGACCACAAGAUCAUGACCUGAGCCAAAGUCAGACCCUCAACUGACUGAGCCACCCAAGUGCCUCUUAAUGUUACUCUAAAAUGCAGGUAGAGAAGGAAGCCAGGGCUUACAUGAGAGUCUAUCUUGUUUUAGUCUUGACAACCCUUCUUAAUCUUUGAGAAACUCAAUCCUACCUUCCACCUUAAAUUUAAACGAGUUUAAUAGAAGCUUUUUGGAGGGCAAUUUGGUUUAGCUGGCAGAAUUUUAAAUAUGCAUGUUAUCUGACCCUGUAAUUUCACUUCUGGAAUUCACCAUACAGAAAUACUUGGACAAAUGUUCCACAAAAUAAGCACAAGGAUUUUACUGCAAAAUUGUUUGCAAGAAGACUAAAAACAACCCCUAAAUGUCCAUGAAUGGGAAACUAAAUUGUGAAAUAAAUGAACUGACAGUUAUUCAGCAGUUUGAAAAUGAGCUAGAUAUCUAUGAACUGACAUAACCCAUUAUAAUAAAAUAGUGAAUAAA
Molecule: long non-coding RNA, 2000 nt
Organism: Acinonyx jubatus (cheetah)
Lineage: Eukaryota; Metazoa; Chordata; Mammalia; Carnivora; Felidae
Exons: 3
Source: RefSeq, a predicted model, not a curated record